Molecule: small nuclear RNA, 161 nt
Organism: Erinaceus europaeus (western European hedgehog)
Lineage: Eukaryota; Metazoa; Chordata; Mammalia; Eulipotyphla; Erinaceidae
Gene: U1
Rfam family: U1 spliceosomal RNA
About the family: U1 is a small nuclear RNA (snRNA) component of the spliceosome (involved in pre-mRNA splicing).
Source: Ensembl
CUAAUACCUGGCAGGGGAGAGAUCAUGACCACGAAGGUGGUUUUCCCAGGGCGAGGCUUAUCAAUUGGACUCUGGACGUGCUGACCCCUGCGAUUGUCCCAAAUGUGGGAAACUUGACUGCAUGAUUUCUGGUAGUGGGGGACUGCAUUUGCACUCUCCCC